GAUGAACGCUGGCGGCGUGCUUAACACAUGCAAGUCGAACGGGAAACCUUUUAUUGAAGCUUCUGCAGAUUUAGCUGGUUUCUAGUGGCGGACGGGUUAGUAACGCGUGGGUAACCUGCCUUCUACAGGGGGAUAACAACCAGAAAUGGUUGCUAAUACCGCAUAAGCGCACAGGACCGCAUGGUCCGGUGUGAAAAACUCCGGUGGUAUAAGAUGGACCCGCGUUGGAUUAGCUAGUUGGCAGGGUAACGGCCUACCAAGGCGACGAUCCAUAGCCGGCCGGGGAGGGGGAACGGCCACAUUGGGACUGAGACACGGACCAGACUCCUACGGGAGGGAGCAGUGGGGAAUAUUGCACAAUGGAGGAAACCCUGAUGAAGCGACGCCGCGUGAAGGAAGAAGUAUCUCGGUAUGUAAACUUCUAUCAGCAGGGAAGAUAGUGACGGUACCUGACUAAGAAGCCCCGGCUAACUACGUG
This 478-nucleotide ribosomal RNA is filed under the name uncultured bacterium. RNAcentral describes it as "partial 16S ribosomal RNA". It matches the Rfam family "Bacterial small subunit ribosomal RNA", at positions 28 to 507 of the family's 1533-position model. The record is from RNAcentral.